AACGAACGCUGGCGGCAUGCCUAACACAUGCAAGUCGAACGAGACCUUCGGGUCUUGUGGCGCACGGGUGCGUAACGCGUGGGAACCUGCCCUUAGGUUCGGAAUAACUCCCCGAAAGGGGUGCUAAUACCGGAUAAUGUCUUCGGACCAAAGAUUUAUCGCCUUUGGAUGGGCCCGCGUUGGAUUAGCUAGUUGGUAGGGUAAAAGCCUACCAAGGCGACGAUCCAUAGCUGGUCUGAGAGGAUGAUCAGCCACACUGGGACUGAGACACGGCCCAGACUCCUACGGGAGGCAGCAGUGGGGAAUAUUGGACAAUGGGCGAAAGCCUGAUCCAGCAAGGCCGCGUGAGUGAUGAAGGCCUUAGGGUUGUAAAGCUCUUUUACCCGGGAUGAUAAUGACAGUACCGGGAGAAUAAGCCCCGGCUAACUCCGUG
Molecule: ribosomal RNA, 433 nt
Filed under: uncultured bacterium
Lineage: Bacteria
Description: partial 16S ribosomal RNA
Rfam family: Bacterial small subunit ribosomal RNA
Source: RNAcentral